CGUUAGAGGGACGUGUUGCAUGUUUAUAUAGAGGGGCACCGAAUCCUUAGAUAGUGCAUACAUGUUUAAAGUACAUCUUGGAGAUCAAGGAAUAUAGAUAGAGAUAGAAUCCAAUCUAAUUACAACCGACAGGGAUAGAGCAGUUUUAAAAGUUUAAACUAGAGUCUAUCUUAUCUCUACUAGAUUCCUUGAGGUACAAGUCAUGUAAGCUGAACCUGGUUCUAUCAUGUUCGACAGGUAGGACACAUAGGUCAAGCCUAUGACCCUACCCUAGGUACAUAUCCCCAUCGGCGGGGUCAUUCGAGUCAGCUAUCAUGGUUCUAGGGGCUUUAGGACUGAAGGUGAUUUGAACUUAAAACUGUGAGACCCUGAACGAGUGUAGCUGUCUGAUCUACACGACCAUGUGGGUUUCUGAAGCGUGUGUGAUUCAUGGCUUCGUGACUCUGCCUGUUUGCGAGUUGCUACUAGUACCACCACAUCAUUUCUACCGGUAGAUCAUGGGUGUUAGCAUGUGCUGGUUCAAAAGUUACAUUCCUUGGUCAGACGAGAAGCAACACAUUUCUGCUGUCUCUGCCGAUGUUUGUCCGUACAAGCUUUUCCA
Long non-coding RNA from Hordeum vulgare subsp. vulgare (domesticated barley), 601 nucleotides. RefSeq lists it as uncharacterized. Lineage: Eukaryota; Viridiplantae; Streptophyta; Magnoliopsida; Poales; Poaceae. The transcript is spliced from 2 exons. The record is from RefSeq and is a predicted model, not a curated record.